AGAGUUUGAUCAUGGCUCAGGACGAACGCUGGCGGCGUGCCUAACACAUGCAAGUCGAGCGAGGGACUUCGGUCCCUAGCGGCGGACGGGUGAGUAACACGUGGGUAACCUGCCUCAUAGAGGGGGAUAGCCUCCCGAAAGGGAGAUUAAUACCGCAUAACAUUAUGCUGUCGCAUGGCAGUAUAAUCAAAGGAGUAAUCCGCUAUGAGAUGGACCCGCGGCGCAUUAGCUAGUUGGUGAGGUAACGGCUCACCAAGGCGACGAUGCGUAGCCGACCUGAGAGGGUGAUCGGCCACAUUGGAACUGAGACACGGUCCAGACUCCUACGGGAGGCAGCAGUGGGGAAUAUUGCACAAUGGGCGAAAGCCUGAUGCAGCAACGCCGCGUGAGUGAUGAAGGCCUUCGGGUUGUAAAGCUCUGUCUUUUGGGACGAUAAUGACGGUACCAAAGGAGGAAGCCACGGCUAACUACGUGCCAGCAGCCGCGGUAAUACGUAGGUGGCAAGCGUUGUCCGGAUUUACUGGGCGUAAAGGAUGCGUAGGUGGAUAUUUAAGUGGGAUGUGAAAUACCCGGGCUCAACUUGGGUGCUGCAUUCCAAACUGGAUAUCUAGAGUGCAGGAGAGGAAAGUGGAAUUCCUAGUGUAGCAGUGAAAUGCGUAGAUAUUAGGAGGAACACCAGUGGCGAAGGCGGCUUUCUGGACUGUAACUGACACUGAGGCAUGAAAGCGUGGGGAGCAAACAGGAUUAGAUACCCUGGUAGUCCACGCCGUAAACGAUGGGUACUAGGUGUGGGAGUUGUCAUGACUUCCGUGCCGUCGUUAACACAGUAAGUACCCCGCCUGGGGAGUACGAUCGCAAGAUUAAAACUCAAAUGAAUUGACGG
This 883-nucleotide ribosomal RNA is filed under the name uncultured bacterium. RNAcentral's name for it is "bacterial SSU rRNA". It matches the Rfam family "Bacterial small subunit ribosomal RNA", at positions 8 to 916 of the family's 1533-position model. The record is from RNAcentral.